This 471-nucleotide ribosomal RNA is filed under the name uncultured bacterium. RNAcentral's name for it is "bacterial SSU rRNA". It matches the Rfam family "Bacterial small subunit ribosomal RNA", at positions 28 to 495 of the family's 1533-position model. The record is from RNAcentral.
GAUGAACGCUGGCGGCGUGCUUAACACAUGCAAGUCGAACGGAGUGCCUUUGAAAGAGGAUUCGUCCAAUUGAUAAGGUUACUUAGUGGCGGACGGGUGAGUAACGCGUGAGGAACCUGCCUUGGAGUGGGGAAUAACACAGUGAAAAUUGUGCUAAUACCGCAUAAUGCAGUUGGGCCGCAUGGCACAGCGGGAAAAGGAUUUAUUCGCUUCAGGAUGGACUCGCGUCCAAUUAGCUAGUUGGUGAGGUAACGGCCCACCAAGGCGACGAUUGGUAGCCGGACUGAGAGGUUGAACGGCCACAUUGGGACUGAGACACGGCCCAGACUCCUACGGGAGGCAGGCAGUGGGGGAUAUUGCACAAUGGGGGAAACCCUGAUGCAGCGACGCCGCGUGGAGGAAGAAGGGUUUUCGGAUUGUAAACUCCUGUCGUUAGGGACGAUAAUGACGGUACCUAACAAGAAAGCAACC